Molecule: ribosomal RNA, 460 nt
Filed under: Ascandra mascarenica
Lineage: Eukaryota; Metazoa; Porifera; Calcarea; Clathrinida; Leucaltidae
Description: Ascandra sp. m MK-2020 partial large subunit ribosomal RNA
Source: RNAcentral
UUUGAAAAGCACUUGAAAGAGAGUUAAAAGCACGGAAACCGUUGAAAGGGAAACGCGCUCGGCUAGCAAUGCGCCAUCACGGUUCAGCCAGUUUGCGGGCGGAGUGGGCGGUCGUCGGAUCCGAACGGACCGCGGCUGUUCACGUCCGUUUGCGAAAUGCGGUGCACUCUGUGGUGGCGCGCGUCAGCGUCGGUUCGGAGCGGGCGACAAGGCCGGCAGGAAGGUAGCUCGCAGCUUGCUGCGAGUAUUAUAGCCUGUCGAGCUGGGUCCGCUGCUCGGACCGAGGAGAGAGAGGAUCGCUGCAGCGCAUGCCCGCAAGGCUAGCUGCCCUUCGUCCGGCUUGCUUCACGGGUUGAGGACUGCACGCAGUGUUCGAACCGGCGAGGUGGUCUGGCGGGGGAGCGGUAUAAAUGCGCUUAGGACGCUGGCUCCAAAUGGCCGUGCGCGACCCGUCUUGAAA